CCUGGUUGAUCCUGCUAGUAGUCAUAUCCUUGUCUCAAAGAUUAAGCCAUGCAUGUCUAAGUAUGAACUAAUUCAGACUGUGAAACCAUGGAUGGCUCAUUAAAUUAGUUAUAGUUUUUUUUAUGGUACCAUACUACUCGGAUAUCCAUAGUAAUUAUAGAGCUAAUACGUGCACCAAGUCCCGAUUCUUUGGAAGGGAUGCAUUUUUUAGAUAAAAGGCCGAUGCGAGCUUGCCCACUUCUCUAGUGAAUCAUGAUAACUCAAAGGAUCACACAUCCCUUGUGCUGGCGAUGCUUCAUUCAAAUUUCUACCCUAUCAACUUUCAAUGGUAGGAUAGAGGCUUACCAUGGUGGUGACGGGUGAUAGAGUAUUAGGGUUCGAUUCUGGAGAGGGAUCCUGAGAAACAACAACCAUAUCCAAGGAAGGCAGCAAGCAUGCAAAUUACCCAAUCCUAACAUGGGGAGGUAGUGACAAUAAAUAAUAAUACUGGGCUCAUCGAGUCUGGUAAUUAGAAUGAGUACAAUCUAAAUCCCUUAAUGAGGAUCCAUUGGAGGGCAAGUAUAGUGCUAGCAGCCAUGGUAAUUCUAGUUCCAAUAGCGUAUAUUUAAGUUGUUGCAGUUAAAAAGCUCGUAGUUGGAUCUUGGGUCGUAAAGGCCGGUCCACCUACUCGGUGUGCACCUGCCCUUGCUUCCCUUUUGUCAGUGGCGUGCUCCUAGCCUUAAUUGGCUGGGUCGCAGCUCCGGCACUUUUACUUUGAAAAAAUUAGAGUGCUCAAAGUAAGAUUAUGCUAUGAAUACAUUAGAAUGGAAUAACAUGAUAGGAUUCUGGUCCUAUUAUGUUGGCCUUCAGGACCGGAGUAAUGAUUAAUAGGGAUUAUCGGGGGCAUUCGUAUUUCAUUGUCAGAGGUAAAAUUCUUGGAUUUAUGAAAGAUGGACCAUUGUGAAAGCUUUUGCCAAGAAUGUUUUCAUUAAUCAAGAACGAAAGUUGGGGUUCAAAGAUGAUCAGAUAUCAUCCUAGUCUCAACCAUAAAUGAUGCCGACCAGGAAUCAUUGGAUGUUGCUCUUAGGACUCCGCCGACACCUUCUGAGAAAUCAGAGUGUUUGGGUUCUGGGGGGAGUAUGGUCGCAAGGCUGAAAUUUAUAGGAAUUGACGAAAGGGCACCACCAGGAGUGGAGUCUGUGGCUUAAUUUGACUCAACAUGGGGAAACUUACCAGGUCCAUACAUAGUAAGGAUAAACAGAUUGAGAGCUCUUUCUUGAUUCUAUGGGUGGCGGUACAUGGUUGUUCUUAGUUGGUGAAGCGAUUUGCCUGGUUAAUUUAGAUAACGAUUGAGACCUCAGCCUACAAACUAGCUACGUGGAGUUUCCCCUUCACAGCUAGCUUCUUAGAGGGAAUAUGGCCAUUUAGGCCAUGGAAGUUUGAGGUAAUAACAGGUAUGUGAUGCCCUUAGAUGUUUUGGGCCACACGCAUGCUACAUUGAUGCAACCAAUGAGUUUUUCUUCCUAGUUCAAGAGGAUCGAGAAAUAUUCUCAAAUUGCAUCGUGAUGGGGAUAGACGAUUGCAAUUAUUGGUAUUCAACGAGGAAUUCCUAGUAAGUGUGUGCCAUCAACUCGUGUUGACUAAGUCCUUGCCCUUUAUACACACUGCCCAUUGCUCCUACCAAUUGAAUGAUCCGGUGUAGUGUUCGGAUUGUGUCGACGAUGGUGGUUCGUCGUCAUCGACGCCGUGAGAAGUUCAUUGAACCUUAUCAUUUAGAGGAAGGAGAAGUCGUAACAAGGUUACUGUAGGUGAACCUGCAGUAG
This 1802-nucleotide ribosomal RNA is filed under the name Pinus taeda (loblolly pine). RNAcentral describes it as "SSU rRNA". It matches the Rfam family "Eukaryotic small subunit ribosomal RNA". Lineage: Eukaryota; Viridiplantae; Streptophyta; Pinopsida; Pinales; Pinaceae. The record is from RNAcentral.